Molecule: ribosomal RNA, 488 nt
Filed under: [Flexibacter] sp. ATCC 35208
Lineage: Bacteria; Pseudomonadati; Bacteroidota; Chitinophagia; Chitinophagales; Chitinophagaceae
Description: bacterial LSU rRNA
Rfam family: Bacterial large subunit ribosomal RNA
Source: RNAcentral
CGAUUGAUCCGCAGAUACCUGAAUGGGGCAACCCACUAUGUUGAAGACAUAGUACACCGAUAGGUGGGCAAACCCGCUGAACUGAAACAUCUAAGUAGGCGGAGGAGAAGAAAACAAAAGUGAUUCCGUAAGUAGUGGCGAGCGAACGCGGAUUAGCCCAAACCAAUGUUGUUACGGCAAUGUUGGGGUUGUAGGACCACGAUAUUUUAUGUACAAGGAACCGGAAGUUACUGGAAAGUGACGCCAUAGAGGGUGAUAGCCCCGUAUGGGUAACAAGUAUAAUAGAUAGUGGUAUCCUGAGUAGGGCGGGGCACGUGAAACCCUGUCUGAAUUUGGCGGGACCAUCCGCUAAGGCUAAAUACUCCUGAGAGACCGAUAGUGAACCAGUACCGUGAGGGAAAGGUGAAAAGAACCGUGAAUAACGGAGUGAAAUAGAUCCUGAAACCAUACGCUUACAAGCGGUCGGAGCCCUUUCGUGGGGUGACGGC